Molecule: ribosomal RNA, 1352 nt
Filed under: Pantoea brenneri
Lineage: Bacteria; Pseudomonadati; Pseudomonadota; Gammaproteobacteria; Enterobacterales; Erwiniaceae
Description: partial 23S ribosomal RNA
Rfam family: Bacterial large subunit ribosomal RNA
Source: RNAcentral
GCCGGGCGACGGUUGUCCCGGUUUAAGCGUGUAGGUGUGUGUUCCAGGCAAAUCCGGUUCACUUUACACUGAGGCGUGACGACGAGGCACUACGGUGCUGAAGUGAUAAAUGCCCUGCUUCCAGGAAAAGCCUCUAAGCAUCAGGUAACACAAAAUCGUACCCCAAACCGACACAGGUGGUCAGGUAGAGAAUACCAAGGCGCUUGAGAGAACUCGGGUGAAGGAACUAGGCAAAAUGGUGCCGUAACUUCGGGAGAAGGCACGCUGGCGCGUAGGUGGAGGGACUUGCUCCCCGAGCCGAAGCCAGUCGAAGAUACCAGCUGGCUGCAACUGUUUAUUAAAAACACAGCACUGUGCAAACACGAAAGUGGACGUAUACGGUGUGACGCCUGCCCGGUGCCGGAAGGUUAAUUGAUGGGGUUAUCCGUAAGGAGAAGCUCUUGAUCGAAGCCCCGGUAAACGGCGGCCGUAACUAUAACGGUCCUAAGGUAGCGAAAUUCCUUGUCGGGUAAGUUCCGACCUGCACGAAUGGCGUAAUGAUGGCCAGGCUGUCUCCACCCGAGACUCAGUGAAAUUGAACUCGCUGUGAAGAUGCAGUGUACCCGCGGCAAGACGGAAAGACCCCGUGAACCUUUACUACAGCUUGACACUGAACAUUGAGCCUUGAUGUGUAGGAUAGGUGGGAGGCUUUGAAGCGCAGACGCCAGUCUGCGUGGAGCCAACCUUGAAAUACCACCCUUUAAUGUUUGAUGUUCUAACGUGGCCCCGUUAUCCGGGGUGCGGACAGUGUCUGGUGGGUAGUUUGACUGGGGCGGUCUCCUCCUAAAGCGUAACGGAGGAGCACGAAGGUCAGCUAAUCACGGUCGGACAUCGUGAGGUUAGUGCAAUGGCAUAAGCUGGCUUGACUGCGAGAGUGACGGCUCGAGCAGGUGCGAAAGCAGGUCAUAGUGAUCCGGUGGUUCUGAAUGGAAGGGCCAUCGCUCAACGGAUAAAAGGUACUCCGGGGAUAACAGGCUGAUACCGCCCAAGAGUUCAUAUCGACGGCGGUGUUUGGCACCUCGAUGUCGGCUCAUCACAUCCUGGGGCUGAAGUAGGUCCCAAGGGUACGGCUGUUCGCCGUUUAAAGUGGUACGCGAGCUGGGUUUAGAACGUCGUGAGACAGUUCGGUCCCUAUCUGCCGUGGGCGCUGGAGAAUUGAGGGGGGUUGCUCCUAGUACGAGAGGACCGGAGUGAACGCACCACUGGUGUUCGGGUUGUCAUGCCAAUGGCAUUGCCCGGUAGCUAAGUGCGGAAAAGAUAAGUGCUGAAAGCAUCUAAGCACGAAACUUGCCCCGAGAUGAGUUCUCCCUGAC